Molecule: transfer RNA, 64 nt
Filed under: Blattodea sp. MT-2014
Lineage: Eukaryota; Metazoa; Arthropoda; Insecta; Blattodea
Description: tRNA-Thr
Source: RNAcentral
GUUUUAGUAAUUUAAAAAAAAAUAUUGGUCUUGUAAAUCAAAAUUAAGAGUAUCUUCUAAAACU